Non-coding RNA from Danio rerio (zebrafish), 502 nucleotides. NCBI's taxonomy places the organism in Eukaryota, Metazoa, Chordata, Actinopteri, Cypriniformes, Danionidae. The record is from RefSeq and is a predicted model, not a curated record.
GUCAAAUAUUAUGUCAGUCAGGAUGGCAAUGGUAAAACUCAAGGAUUACCUUGCACCUUCUCAGUAAUUUACCAUUGAUCAUAUGUAUUACAAGUGGCUGGGUUGUUUUUAACACAAGCAACGUAUUUUAAAUCAUUAUCUUAAACAGAUUAUGGCUCAUUUUGGACUACACUUACAUUACUUUACAACUGCUUAAUGCAGUACUGAUGUAUCUAGUAGUUAGUGGGUUUAACUAAUGUCACAUCUGUUUUUAUUCAUUUUAGAUGCAGAAACUUUUGACAUAUGAAUUCAUCUUGACUAAGGAACUCUUCACAGCACUGCAUCUGAACAGUCACAACCUCACAGAGCUGCACAACUGCCCCACUCAAGAUCACUGUUGAAGCUGGAACCUCAUCUUGUGUACAGCAAAGGCAGAGCUGAAAAUUCACUGUUUGUCUUGUAUUGUGUGUGGCAAAACCUGGAAUAACACAUGGGAGCCCUCCAGGAAUUGCUGACACUUUAC